RNAcentral lists this ribosomal RNA (497 nucleotides) under uncultured bacterium. RNAcentral describes it as "partial 16S ribosomal RNA". It matches the Rfam family "Bacterial small subunit ribosomal RNA", at positions 28 to 507 of the family's 1533-position model. The record is from RNAcentral.
GAUGAACGCUGGCGGCAUGCCUAAUACAUGCAAGUCGAGCGAAGGGUUCGGAAGUUUUCUCCCCUGAGUUUGUCGCGGGAGGGGUGAUUAACUUGUGGUUAGCCUACCAAUAAGACUGGGAUACUUUUGGGAAACGGGGUCUAAUACCGAAUGAUUUUUUGACCCGCAUUGUUCCAAAGUAAAAGUCGGUCUUGCGUGCACUAAUGGACGACCCCGGACUCCAUUCUCAGGUUGUCAAGGUAACGGCUUACCAAGGCAACGAGGCAAAGCCGACCUGAAAGGGUGGUUGCCCACACUGUAAGUGAGACACGGUCCAGACUCCUACGGGAGGCAGCAGUAGGGAAUCUUACGCGAUGGGCGAAAGCCUGACGGAGCAACGCCGCGGGAGUGAUGAUGGUCUUCGGAUCGGAAAACUCUGUUAUUAGGGAAGAACAUAUGUGUAAGUAACUGUGCACAUCUUGACGGUACCUAAUCAGAAAGCCACGGCUAACUACGUG